GUCCCAUGUGUUGGUACCUUCACCGCAGGGAGAUUUCCUGGUGGUAAUGUGCAGGACUUUUGUUGGCAUCCUCACAGGUCCCUUAACCCUCAGUCUCUUGUCUUUGGCACCCCGAACCAAAUCAGCACAAACCUUUUCAAGGUUCUUCACAUUCUUCGACGAAAGAGUGAUCCUAAUCUUGUGGAUCUGCUCUUGAGCGUCCUCCAAACCAGGCUUCGUAGGCUUCAUCGCUGCAUACGCCAUGUUUGCUUACUUCCGGAGGAAGGGGCGGCUAGCGGUGCUAGGCUUUUCGGUUGGAG
RNAcentral lists this unclassified non-coding RNA (299 nucleotides) under Hevea brasiliensis (rubber tree). Lineage: Eukaryota; Viridiplantae; Streptophyta; Magnoliopsida; Malpighiales; Euphorbiaceae. The record is from RNAcentral.